GCAGCGCCCUGGGCCCGCGCGGGCCCGGCGCCCCGGGAGGCGUCCGGGGAGGCUGGUGAGAGGCAGGCCGGCGGGCGGGCGGACGCCGAGGCGGUUAGGCCGCGCUGCAGGCCGGCGCGCUUCCUGCCGCGGCCCCGGGAACGGCGGCGCGGCCCCGACCCACAACUCCCGGGCCCCGCUGCUGUGUGUGUGCGGAACACACACUCACCCUCUCCGGCCCCCGCGGAGCAGCUCUCACCUGCGAGGCUCCUGAGCCUCGGCCACAAAGGGGGAGGGACACGCCACUCGGGGGUCCCAAACACACGGAACCCGCCCCCAGAGUCCCGGGCCCUGGGCGCGGACCACCCCCCCCAAACACACACACGCACGCACACCCCGGAACCUUCGCCGCUUCAGACAGAGACGCGGGUCAUCCCCGCACCCGACACACACCCACUCGCUGUGGGUCCUCAGGCCGCCUCCCCGCCCGCCGAAGUCCCAACUCGCACACCCCCAGGCACAUCUGUCCUUCUCCCACCUCAUUUCCCCGGGGACGCGCUCCUCUUCCCAACACUCUCGAUCCUACUCGGAGGCACAAAAACACUCUACCUCAUUCUCUUCCUCUGGCCCAGAAGGAGCAACAGCAGCCAUUUCCCCGCGGCAGGGGAAACACACACACACAAACACGCGCGCGCGCGCGCGCGCGCGCCAGGCCCCCACAGAUGCUUCCCCUCCGGAGCCGCGGCCGCAGACGCAAACACAAACACCCACUGGCGGGCCUCGCUACCGCCCGCCCCGGAGGGAAUCCGCGGCGGCGGCGGCGGCGGGCAGGGCCCGGAUCCCGGCUUGCGGGCGGGCGCGCAGGGCGCCCGGGCCUGGGGUCGCCGAGGGCCUGCGCCCCCUCCUCACCUGCAUUCAGCGCGCCGGGGUCCGGGCGGCGACGGCGGCGGCGGCGGCGGGGCGGCUGCUGCUGGUGCUGGUGUUGCGGCGGCGGGGGAGGCGGCGGCGGCGGUGGCGGCGGGGCUGAGGGCAGCAAAGACAUGCAGGCAGCCCGCCGGGGGAAGAGGCACCGGCCGGAGGGGACGCGGGGCGGGCGGGCCGGGCCGGGCCGCCGAGAAACGGCAGAGGCGGCGGCGAGGAGGACGGCUGAGGGGAGCGAGAAGGAGACGGAUGGGGGGCUGGGAGGGGGCCGCGCCGCCGGGCUUCGGGGACGGUGACCCUGGGCGCGCAGGAGAGGCCCCGCGGCCGCGGCCGCCGACGCGAAGGGCCCUGCUGGAGGAAGCUGCGCCCCCGCAGCCGCCGGAGCCGCGGCUAUUACUCGGAGAGCCGCACAGAGCCUGGCCUUGGCCUUGGCCUCCUGGCGCCGGGGCUGCCGCCGCUGCGGGGGUUGCUGCUGCGCCUGCUGCUGCUGGAGCCGAGGCUGCUGCACAGAGACGCCAGCUUUUGGUGCCACCGCUCUCGCUCACACACGUUCACACCCCCGAGGGCCGGGGGAGAGGCGUCCGCGCGCUAUCGGUAUUGAGAUUAAUAAGAAGGUGCAGAGAGUGCGAGAAGGAGGAGGGUUGA
RNAcentral lists this long non-coding RNA (1545 nucleotides) under Delphinapterus leucas (beluga whale). Its description in RNAcentral is "lncRNA (ENSDLEG00000016065.1)". Lineage: Eukaryota; Metazoa; Chordata; Mammalia; Artiodactyla; Monodontidae. The record is from RNAcentral.